GAUGAAGAACGCAGCGAAAUGCGAUAAGUAAUGUGAAUUGCAGAAUUCAGUGAAUCAUCGAAUCUUUGAACGCACAUUGCGCCCCCUGGUAUUCCGGGGGGCAUGCCUGUCCGAGCGUCAUUACAACCCUCAAGCUCAGCUUGGUAUUGGGCCCCGCCGCUCCGGCGGGCCCUAAAGUCAGUGGCGGUGCCGUCCGGCUCCGAGCGUAGUAAUUCUUCUCGCUCUGGAGGUCCGGUCGUGUGCUCGCCAGCAACCCCCAAUUUUUUUCAGGUUGACCUCGGAUCAGGUAGGGAUACCCGCUGAACUUAAGCAUAUCAAUAAGCGGAGG
This 328-nucleotide unclassified non-coding RNA is filed under the name soil metagenome. RNAcentral describes it as "partial contains 5.8S ribosomal RNA, internal transcribed spacer 2, and large subunit ribosomal RNA". The stretch from base 1 to 120 matches the Rfam family "5.8S ribosomal RNA", at positions 35 to 154 of the family's 154-position model. The record is from RNAcentral.